This 924-nucleotide long non-coding RNA is filed under the name Brassica napus (rape). Its description in RNAcentral is "long non-coding RNA (BNAP_LNC016819)". Lineage: Eukaryota; Viridiplantae; Streptophyta; Magnoliopsida; Brassicales; Brassicaceae. The record is from RNAcentral.
CGUUAAUUACAAAUAUUUGAAUUGAUUAGAUUUAAUUGGUGGAGACUAAUUGGAAAGUGUAUAGAAAAAUAAAUAAUAAAUUAAACUGUAAACAUUUAUUAUAUUCUGAAUAAACGUGAAAUCUCUAAAAAGUCUUAAUUUCGGAAACAUAAUUAGUGAAAAAUUUAGCCUAGAUUAAUUAGAAGUACUGCUGUGUUAAAUGAUUGAUUCUCAUAUUUUGCAUGUCAUGUUACAAUUAACAUAAACACAAAUAAAUAGCGAUAAUUAACGUAAACCCUCAUCCCACUAUCAUCUGUCUCGAGCACAUAGUAAGAUCGUUUCAUUGUUAAAAGCGAAGCUAACGACAUCUGGCACACGAGCCAACGGUCGCUAUUCGAUCAAUGGUCCUUUGCUUUUUUCCUAUCAAGACAGUGGCACUUUAUAAGUGGAUGACCUUACUUAGUUCGCCAUUAAUAUCGCACCACGUGUAAGCAAACACAUGUGAAUUAGAAGAUUAGUCCAAAGAGAGGAAACGUAAGAACGAAGAACCAACCAAGUGGACGCAGGAACUCUCAACACAACCAAUCCCCCGACUCACCAGUCACCACUUCCCAUAUUGGAUGAUGAUACCAACCAAAAGGUAAUUGAUUUCGACUGCUUUUAUUUCCCCUUGGGAUCAAAAGGAACAAAGUGAUGUGAGACCCAAUUUUGUUUUGUGCCCUUUUCUUUUUUACUACACACAGAUGUCACAAACUUUUUUAAAUAAAUAAUCCGACUAAUACUGAUUAGAAAAGUUUAAUUGAAUCAUCCUAUCAUCAGCUUCCCUUGUAAUAUCUAGCUCUGAAUUAUAUAUGCGGUUGAGCAAAGUCCUGCUCUAUUGAUAUUUAAUUCUCACGGUUCACUGGCAUCUACAAUUUAGAUCAUCACAUACAUGUUCGAUGUGAC